This 73-nucleotide transfer RNA is filed under the name Felis catus (domestic cat). It matches the Rfam family "tRNA". Rfam says of the family: Transfer RNA (tRNA) molecules are approximately 80 nucleotides in length. Their secondary structure includes four short double-helical elements and three loops (D, anti-codon, and T loops). Further hydrogen bonds mediate the characteristic L-shaped molecular structure. tRNAs have two regions of fundamental functional importance: the anti-codon, which is responsible for specific mRNA codon recognition, and the 3' end, to which the tRNAs corresponding amino acid is attached (by aminoacyl-tRNA synthetases). tRNAs cope with the degeneracy of the genetic code in two manners: having more than one tRNA (with a specific anti-codon) for a particular amino acid; and 'wobble' base-pairing, i.e. permitting non-standard base-pairing at the 3rd anti-codon position. Lineage: Eukaryota; Metazoa; Chordata; Mammalia; Carnivora; Felidae. The record is from Rfam by way of RNAcentral. RNAcentral also lists the same sequence under 2 other names.
ACCUGGCUGGCUCAGUCAGUAGAGCAUGUGACUCUUGUUCUCGGGGUCGUGAGUUCAAGUCCCAUGGUGGGUG